RNAcentral lists this ribosomal RNA (253 nucleotides) under uncultured bacterium. RNAcentral describes it as "partial 16S ribosomal RNA". It matches the Rfam family "Bacterial small subunit ribosomal RNA", at positions 524 to 776 of the family's 1533-position model. The record is from RNAcentral.
UACGAACUGUGCAAACGUUAUUCGGAUUCACUGGGCUUAAAGGGUGCGUAGGCGGCCAUGUAAGUAGGGUGUGAAAUCCCCCGGCUUAACCGGGGAACUGCGCCCUAAACUGUAUGGCUGGAGUGAGAUAGGGGUGUGUGGAACUUCCGGUGGAGCGGCGAAAUGUGUUGAUAUCGGAAGGAACGCCGGUGGCGAAAGCGACACACUGGGUCUCAACUGACGCUGAGGCACGAAAGCCAGGGGAGCGAACGGG